Molecule: ribosomal RNA, 1371 nt
Filed under: Candidatus Phytoplasma solani
Lineage: Bacteria; Bacillati; Mycoplasmatota; Mollicutes; Acholeplasmatales; Acholeplasmataceae
Description: bacterial SSU rRNA
Rfam family: Bacterial small subunit ribosomal RNA
Source: RNAcentral
AAGACGAGGAUAACAGUUGGAAACGACUGCUAAGACUGGAUAGGAGAUAAGAAGGCAUCUUUUUAUUUUUAAAAGACCUAGCAAUAGGUAUGCUUAGGGAAGAGCUUGCGUCACAUUAGUUAGUUGGUGGGGUAAUGGCCUACCAAGACGAUGAUGUGUAGCCGGGCUGAGAGGUCGAACGGCCACAUUGGGACUGAGACACGGCCCAAACUCCUACGGGAGGCAGCAGUAAGGAAUUUUCGGCAAUGGAGGAAACUCUGACCGAGCAAUGCCGCGUGAACGAUGAAGUAUUUCGGUACGUAAAGUUCUUUUAUUAGGGAAGAAAAGAUGGUGGAAAAACCAUUAUGACGGUACCUAAUGAAUAAGCCCCGGCUAACUAUGUGCCAGCAGCCGCGGUAAUACAUAGGGGGCAAGCGUUAUCCGGAAUUAUUGGGCGUAAAGGGUGCGUAGGCGGUUAAAUAAGUUUAUGGUCUAAGUGCAACGCUCAACGUUGUGAUGCUAUAAAAACUGUUUAGCUAGAGUUGGAUAGAGGCAAGUGGAAUUCCGUGUGUAGUGGUAAAAUGCGUAAAUAUACGGAGGAACACCAGAAGCGAAGGCGGCUUGCUGGGUCUUAACUGACGCUGAGGCACGAAAGCGUGGGGAGCAAACAGGAUUAGAUACCCUGGUAGUCCACGCCCUAAACGAUGAGUACUAAACGUUGGAUAAAACCAGUGUUGAAGUUAACACAUUAAGUACUCCGCCUGAGUAGUACGUACGCAAGUAUGAAACUUAAAGGAAUUGACGGGACUCCGCACAAGCGGUGGAUCAUGUUGUUUAAUUCGAAGGUACCCGAAAAACCUCACCAGGUCUUGACAUGCUUUUGCAAAGCUGUAGAAAUACAGUGGAGGUUAUCAGAAGCACAGGUGGUGCAUGGUUGUCGUCAGCUCGUGUCGUGAGAUGUUGGGUUAAGUCCCGCAACGAGCGCAACCCUUGUUGUUAAUUGCCAUCAUUAAGUUGGGGACUUUAGCAAGACUGCCAAUGAUAAAUUGGAGGAAGGUGGGGACGACGUCAAAUCAUCAUGCCCCUUAUGACCUGGGCUACAAACGUGAUACAAUGGCUGUUACAAAGGGUAGCUAAAGCGUAAGCUUCUGGCGAAUCUCAAAAAAGCAGUCUCAGUUCGGAUUGAAGUCUGCAACUCGACUUCAUGAAGUUGGAAUCGCUAGUAAUCGCGAAUCAGCAUGUCGCGGUGAAUACGUUCUCGGGGUUUGUACACACCGCCCGUCAAACCACGAAAGUUGGCAAUACCCAAAGCCGGUGGCCUAACUUGAGCAAUCAAGAAGGAGCCGUCUAAGGUAGGGUUGAUGAUUGGGGUUAAGUCGUAACAAGGUAUCC